UUUGGGUAGCUUUGGUUCUCAUCAAUGAUGUGUAUUAACCACACGAUUGACGUUUUGUCACCAAUCCAUGAAUGACACGAAAUCUAGUGAUAUUAUUAGCUCAUAUUGUAUCUUAGACGGUAGUCGAUAUCUUAGUUUCUAGUGAUAUUAAUAGUUCAAAGCAAACACGAAUCUCUUUUGUUGUUUUUCGAAGACCCCACAAUAUUAAUACGUCUUAAGAAUGAGUCCUGCUGGCUAUGGUACGGAGUAGCAACAUAACAUCUUAAUUUGGCAAUCGAGCCGGGGAAUAAAAGCAGAACGGAAAGAAAUGAUUUUUACUUUGUGCUCGGUUUUCUUCGCUCUUCGGUCUUCACCAGUGUUUAUCGAACCGUGAUCUCCUUCCUGUGAUUGUGUUUUGCUUCGAAAACAAGCUCGGUUGUGUUGGGCUCAUCAGAAACAGUAAUUCCUUGAGUUUUGCGGUCCGAUUGAAGGUCGGAGAAGAAUAUCUCUGAUCCGAGCAAUGAUAACCCGGUCGAAGCUCGUUGAGCAACUCAGAGACCACCAGAUCCGUUCCCAACGCAAGUGUCCGGCUCUUACUGUCUUCUCCCCCAAACCCCAUUUCACUUCCUGGGUCGAUGUCACCGUGGCAAUCUUUUGGGCUCUAAUCUUUAGCAUGCUUGUCGUGUCAUGCUAUUGGUCCCUUUACUUAGGCCACAUUCGGAUUUCUUUUGUGGUAAUCUGCAUUGGUAUCUUUCUUCCUGUACGCCUAAGAAAAUCUAGGCAGUCCCUUGCCAGGAAGAAGGAGAGAAGACUGCUGUUACCAUUGUCUAUGUGAACAUCUGUGGCAGAGAAACUAUGCAGCGCGCAGUGUACGCCUCACUGCCCCUUUUUGAGAUUAGAUGCAUACACAAAGGCAUGAGAAUUUGCCAAACACCAUUUCUUGAUCAUUGCAAACAGCAUAGAUUUUUAACUUAGAGAAAAUGCUACUUCCUAUUAAUUUUCCCUUCAUGGGCUUGUAGAUUCAAUUGGGUUUCAGAAAUAUCUGUACUCAAAUAUUGUGCAGUUAAAGUGGUUGCAUAUUUAGAAGUUCAGGCACAGCCUAGACCCGAGAGGUGAUACCAGCUUACAAAUGAAUAGUUGGCACUUUGAAUUUUUUUUAUGAGAAUCCAGUGAUACGUGGGUCCAAAUGGCCUGCAAUGUGAGCAGAA
Long non-coding RNA from Carya illinoinensis, 1187 nucleotides. RefSeq lists it as uncharacterized. The record is from RefSeq and is a predicted model, not a curated record. The transcript has 2 exons. Lineage: Eukaryota; Viridiplantae; Streptophyta; Magnoliopsida; Fagales; Juglandaceae.